GGCUACGAGGACGAACGCUGGCGGCGUGCUUAAUACAUGCAAGUCAACUUGACUUUAGAUAGCAAUAUCGAAAAGUAGGGUGGCGCACGGGUGCGUAACGCGUAGGUAAUCUGCCCUGAGGUCUGACAUAACCCGUCGAAAGGCGGGCUAACAUCAGAUGAUAUAUAGUCACGACAUCGUGGAAAUAUCAAAUCUUCGGAGCCUUGGGAUGAGCCUGCGUCUGAUUAGGUAGUUGGCGGAGUAAUAGCCCACCAAGCCUACGAUCAGUAGCUGGUCUGAGAGGAUGAUCAGCCACACUGGAACUGAGACACGGUCCAGACUCCUACGGGAGGCAGCAGUAAGGAAUAUUGCUCAAUGGGGGGAAACCCUGAAGCAGCAACGCCGCGUGAAGGAUGAAAUACUUUGUAUGUAAACUUCUGUAAGAUGGGAAAAAUAUUCUCCUCGGGAGAAUUGAUUGUACCAUCAGAGUAAGCCCCGGCUAACUACGUG
RNAcentral lists this ribosomal RNA (489 nucleotides) under uncultured bacterium. RNAcentral's name for it is "bacterial SSU rRNA". It matches the Rfam family "Bacterial small subunit ribosomal RNA", at positions 26 to 507 of the family's 1533-position model. The record is from RNAcentral.